GAUGAAGAACGCAGCGAAAUGCGAUAAGUAGUGUGAAUUGCAGAAUUCAGUGAAUCAUCGAAUCUUUGAACGCACAUUGCGCCUCCUGGUAUUCCGGGAGGCAUGCCUGUUCGAGCGUCAUUAAAAUCACUCAAGCUUAGGUUUACCUAUUGCUUGGUCUUGGAGAUGGAAGCCAAUUUAUUGGAAACCUCUUCGAAAUUCAAUGGCGAAGACCCUUGCUCUCCCAAGUGUAGUAAUAACUUAUGUCACUGAAGGAAGCGAGAAAUCUUCUGCCGUAACCCCCAUAUUUUCUAUGAUUGACCUCGGAUCAGGUAGGGAUACCCGCUGAACUUAAGCAUAUCAAUAAGCGGAGGA
RNAcentral lists this unclassified non-coding RNA (354 nucleotides) under soil metagenome. Its description in RNAcentral is "partial contains 5.8S ribosomal RNA, internal transcribed spacer 2, and large subunit ribosomal RNA". The stretch from base 1 to 120 matches the Rfam family "5.8S ribosomal RNA", at positions 35 to 154 of the family's 154-position model. The record is from RNAcentral.